This 745-nucleotide long non-coding RNA is filed under the name Chlamydomonas reinhardtii. Its description in RNAcentral is "long non-coding RNA (CREI_LNC000324)". The record is from RNAcentral. Lineage: Eukaryota; Viridiplantae; Chlorophyta; Chlorophyceae; Chlamydomonadales; Chlamydomonadaceae.
UGCGGGCCACCUGGCCCGCGGGCGUGGGCCAGCCUGACGCACAUCUUCCUGGAGUGUCCAGCUUAUGCGCAGGCGAGGACGUGGCUGCAGCAGCUGUGGGCCUGCGUUGCGCCCCAGGCAGCGGCGCCGCCAGUGACGGACGCGGGCUUCAUGCUGGGGGACCGCAUGGGUAUGUGGGCCUCAGGCCCGCGGGGGGCGGGCGCGCUGCUGUGGAGCACUUUGCGGGCCACCUUCUUGUACGCUGUCUGGUGUGCGUACUGGUCCCGCGAGCCUGCUAAGCAGACGUCGGAGCAUGUGGUUCGGGAGGUGGUCAGCUAGGUCAGCGAGCUGCGCAGGGUGAUGCAGCUGCGUUUCACUGCCGCCACGCUAACCCCUGAAACCCUGUCGGCUCUGCCCACUCAGCUUCUCACCGCACAGCUCAAGGCGGCUAAGCUGGAGCACUUUGUUGCCAUCUGGUCGGCGGGUGGCGCGCUUUGUGAAGUGGAGGAGGUUCAGGGUGGGUCACCGAAGUUGAACUUGCGGCUGACGCUUGCAUCACCUGUGCAGGCCCCCUAGGUUUCCUUCUGGGCAGCGUUUCUUUCCAGGCACUGGCGUGGCGUAUUAUCGUCAUCAGCUUGUCUGGCGCCCAUGAGUACUAGCUCUGGAAAAUAAUAAUAAUAUCUACGCAGGGCACAGGUGCCCGCGUGUCUUAAGGAGGAGUGAGACAAGCUCACCCCACCAUCGGAAAACUUGAUUUCCCUACCCC